Molecule: transfer RNA, 73 nt
Filed under: Stegodyphus dumicola
Lineage: Eukaryota; Metazoa; Arthropoda; Arachnida; Araneae; Eresidae
Description: tRNA-Met
Rfam family: tRNA
About the family: Transfer RNA (tRNA) molecules are approximately 80 nucleotides in length.
Source: RNAcentral
GCCUUCGUAGUGUAAUGGUCAGCACACUCGGUGCAUAUUCGAGAGGUCCGGGGUUCGAGUCCCGGCGAAGGCG